GAUUGUACGCUGGCGGCGGGCUUAUACAUGCAAGUCGACGCGGUAGCACAGGGGAGCUUGCUCCCUGGGUGACGAGCGGCGGACGGGUGAGUAAUGUCUGGGAAACUGCCUGAUGGAGGGGGAUAACUACUGGAAACGGUAGCUAAUACCGCAUAACGUCGCAAGACCAAAGAGGGGGACCUUCGGGCCUCUUGCCAUCAGAUGUGCCCAGAUGGGAUUAGCUAGUAGGUGGGGUAAUGGCUCACCUAGGCGACGAUCCCUAGCUGGUCUGAGAGGAUGACCAGCCACACUGGAACUGAGACACGGUCCAGACUCCUACGGGAGGCAGCAGUGGGGAAUAUUGCACAAUGGGCGCAAGCCUGAUGCAGCCAUGCCGCGUGUGUGAAGAAGGCCUUCGGGUUGUAAAGCACUUUCAGCGAGGAGGAAGGUGGUGAGCUUAAUACGCUCAUCAAUUGACGUUACUCGCAGAAGAAGCACCGGCUAACUCCGUGCCAGCAGCCGCGGUAAUACGGAGGGUGCAAGCGUUAAUCGGAAUUACUGGGCGUAAAGCGCACGCAGGCGGUUUGUUAAGUCAGAUGUGAAAUCCCCGGGCUCACCUGGGAACUGCAUUUGAAACUGGCAAGCUAGAGUCUCGUAGAGGGGGGGUAGAAUUCCAGGUGUACCGGUGAAAUGCGUAGAGAUCUGGAGGAAUACCGGUGGCGAGGAAGCCCCCUGUACUACAACUGACGCUCUGGUGCGAAACGUGUGGAGCAAACAGGAGGAGAUCCCCUGGCGGUCCCCCCUGUCAACAUGUCAAUUAGAUGUUGGCGCCCUUCAUGGAGGCCUCCCCCACUAAAAAAUUAUUGAUCCCCUGGUGGAAGCGGCCCCAGGUUGGAGCCCAUUAAUUUUAUGGUGCUGCCCAACCGCGGGGCGGGGGUGUAAAUCUAUAAUAUGAAGAAACUUAGUACC
Molecule: ribosomal RNA, 948 nt
Filed under: Serratia sp. HPC1384
Lineage: Bacteria; Pseudomonadati; Pseudomonadota; Gammaproteobacteria; Enterobacterales; Yersiniaceae
Description: bacterial SSU rRNA
Rfam family: Bacterial small subunit ribosomal RNA
Source: RNAcentral